CAGGUUCCAUUGCAGCCUGAGGUCACCCCAUCCCAGAAGCUAAGUAGGGUUGGGCCUGACUGUGUGACUUGGAUGGUGGGCCACCAGGGGAGACCAGAGGCUGGAGACUUUU
Molecule: ribosomal RNA, 112 nt
Organism: Gorilla gorilla gorilla (western lowland gorilla)
Lineage: Eukaryota; Metazoa; Chordata; Mammalia; Primates; Hominidae
Source: Ensembl